This 255-nucleotide ribosomal RNA is filed under the name uncultured bacterium. Its description in RNAcentral is "partial 16S ribosomal RNA". It matches the Rfam family "Bacterial small subunit ribosomal RNA", at positions 524 to 776 of the family's 1533-position model. The record is from RNAcentral.
UACGUAGGGUGCAAGCGUUUAAUCGGAAUACUGGGCGUAAAGCGUGCGCAGGCGGUUAUGUAAGACAGAUGUGAAAUCCCCGGGCUCAACCUGGGAACUGCAUUUGUGACUGCAUAGCUAGAGUACGGUAGAGGGGGAUGGAAUUCCGCGUGUAGCAGUGAAAUGCGUAGAUAUGCGGAGGAACACCGAUGGCGAAGGACAAUCCCCUGGACCUGUACUGACGCUCAUGCACGAAAGCGUGGGGAUCGAAACAGG